Cinara cedri is the source of this 218-nucleotide non-coding RNA. NCBI's taxonomy places the organism in Eukaryota, Metazoa, Arthropoda, Insecta, Hemiptera, Aphididae. The record is from the annotation of a GenBank genome assembly.
CUAUUAUUGUACGUUUACAAAUAGGUAUUUGCAUUUUACAUAAAUAACUGGUCUAUAAAAACUAUUUAUUUUCCGAGUUUUUGCGAAUUUACGUGAAUCUAUUGGAAAUAUAUUUUUCAUCGUAGUAAAAUGCAUUUAGGACGAAGGUCUUCGUUUUUAAACGAGUUAAAAAUAGACACAUGCUAGAAAAUUAUGUAUGUCACGCAAAAUUGCAGAAU